AACGAACGCUGGCGGCAUGCCUAACACAUGCAAGUCGAACGAAGUCUUCGGACUUAGUGGCGCACGGGUGCGUAACGCGUGGGAAUCUGCCCUUGGGUGCGGAAUAACUUCUCGAAAGGGAUGCUAAUACCGCAUAAUGUCGUAAGACCAAAGAUUUAUCGCCCAAGGAUGAGCCCCGCGUAAGAUUAGCUAGCUGGUGGGGUAAAAGCCUACCAAGGCGACGAUCUUUAGCUGGUCUGAGAGGAUGAUCAGCCACACUGGGACUGAGACACGGCCCAGACUCCUACGGGAGGCAGCAGUGGGGAAUAUUGGACAAUGGGCGAAAGCCUGAUCCAGCAAUGCCGCGUGAGUGAUGAAGGCCUAGGGUGU
Molecule: ribosomal RNA, 369 nt
Filed under: uncultured bacterium
Lineage: Bacteria
Description: bacterial SSU rRNA
Rfam family: Bacterial small subunit ribosomal RNA
Source: RNAcentral